Molecule: ribosomal RNA, 253 nt
Filed under: uncultured bacterium
Lineage: Bacteria
Description: partial 16S ribosomal RNA
Rfam family: Bacterial small subunit ribosomal RNA
Source: RNAcentral
UACGUAGGGGGCAAGCGUUGUCCGGAUUUAUUGGGCGUAAAGAGCGUGUAGGCGGCCUUACAGGUCAGCUGUGAAAACUCGAGGCUCAACCUCGAGACGCCGGUGGAAACCAUCUAGCUAGAGUCCGGAAGAGGAGAGUGGAAUUCCUGGUGUAGCGGUGAAAUGCGCAGAUAUCAGGAAGAACACCCGUGGCGAAGGCGGCUCUCUGGGACGUGACUGACGCUGAGGUGCGAAAGCGUGGGGAGCAAACAGG